UCCCCGGUGGUGUAAUGGCAGCACAACGGUCUCUGGAACCGUUGGUCUUGGUUCGAGUCCAGGCUGGGGAGC
This 72-nucleotide transfer RNA is filed under the name Streptomyces phage BRock. RNAcentral describes it as "tRNA-Gln". It matches the Rfam family "tRNA". From Rfam's summary of the family: Transfer RNA (tRNA) molecules are approximately 80 nucleotides in length. Their secondary structure includes four short double-helical elements and three loops (D, anti-codon, and T loops). Lineage: Duplodnaviria; Heunggongvirae; Uroviricota; Caudoviricetes. The record is from RNAcentral.